This 226-nucleotide ribosomal RNA is filed under the name uncultured bacterium. RNAcentral describes it as "partial 16S ribosomal RNA". It matches the Rfam family "Bacterial small subunit ribosomal RNA", at positions 109 to 334 of the family's 1533-position model. The record is from RNAcentral.
AGUAACGCGUAGGAACCUGUCGUUGAGUGGGGGAUAACGCUGGGAAACCGGCGCUAAUACCGCAUGUGGUUGGUGUGAGAGAUUGCGCCAAAGAAAGGCUACUUGUAGUCGCUCGAUGAGGGGCCUGCGUCCGAUUAGCUAGUUGGUGGGUAAAGGCCUACCAAGGCGUCGAUCGGUAGCUGGUCUGAGAGGAUGGUCAGCCACACUGGGACUGAGAACGGCCCAG